Molecule: ribosomal RNA, 443 nt
Filed under: uncultured bacterium
Lineage: Bacteria
Description: partial 16S ribosomal RNA
Rfam family: Bacterial small subunit ribosomal RNA
Source: RNAcentral
CCUACGGGAGACAGCAGUGGGGGAUAUUGGACAAUGGGGGGAACCCUGAUCCAGCGACGCCGCGUGAGUGAAGAAGUAUUUCGGUAUGUAAAGCUCUGUCAGCAGGGAAGAAAGAAAUGACGGUACCUGACCAAGAAGCCCCGGCUAACUACGUGCCAGCAGCCGCGGUAAUACGUAGGGGGCAAGCGUUAUCCGGAAUUACUGGGUGUAAAGGGAGCGUAGACGGUUAAGUAAGUCUGGAGUGAAAGGCCGGGGCCCAACCCCGGGACUGCUCUGGAAACUAUUGAACUUGAGUGCAGGGGAGGUAAGCGGAAUUCCUAGGGUAGCGGUGAAAUGCGUAGAUAUUAGGAGGAACACCAGUGGCGAAGGCGGCUUACUGGACUGUAACUGACGUUGAGGCUCGAAAGCGUGGGGAGCAAACAGGAUUAGAUACCCCGGUAGUC